GCAUAUCAAUAAGCGGAGGAAAAGAAACUAACAAGGAUUCCCCUAGUAACUGCGAGUGAAGCGGGAAAAGCUCAAAUUUAAAAUCCUUCGGGAGUUGUAAUCUAUAGAAGUGUUUUCGGUCGUUGCCUCGGACAAGUCUCUUGGAACAGAGCGUCAUAGAGGGUGAGAAUCCCGUCCUUGCCGAGCUCCCAACGUCUAUGUGAUACACUUUCAAAGAGUCGAGUUGUUUGGGAAUGCAGCUCAAAAUGGGUGGUAAACUCCAUCUAAAGCUAAAUAUUGGCGAGAGACCGAUAGCGAACAAGUACCGUGAGGGAAAGAUGAAAGCACUUUGGAAAGAGAGUUAAACAGUACGUGAAAUUGUUGAAAGGGAAGCGCUUGGAGUCAGUCGCGUUGCAUGGACUCAGCCUCACGGUGUAUUUCUAUGCAACGGGUCAACAUCAAUUUCGAUCGCGGGAUAAGGGCUUGAGGAAUGUGGCAUCUUCGGAUGUGUUAUAGCCUCCUGUCGUACACCGCGGCUGGGAUUGAGGUCUGCUACAGGAAAAGCACUUUGGAAAGAGAGUUAAACAGUACGUGAAAUUGUUGAAAGGGAAGCGCUUGGAGUCAGUCGCGUUGCAUGGACUCAGCCUCACGGUGUAUUUCUAUGCAACGGGUCAACAUCAAUUUCGAUCGCGGGAUAAGGGCUUGAGGAAUGUGGCAUCUUCGGAUGUGUUAUAGCCUCCUGUCGUACACCGCGGCUGGGAUUGAGGUCUGCUACAGGA
This 758-nucleotide ribosomal RNA is filed under the name Dacrymyces subantarcticensis. RNAcentral describes it as "eukaryotic LSU rRNA". It matches the Rfam family "Eukaryotic large subunit ribosomal RNA", at positions 38 to 623 of the family's 3401-position model. The record is from RNAcentral. Lineage: Eukaryota; Fungi; Basidiomycota; Dacrymycetes; Dacrymycetales; Dacrymycetaceae.